UAUGAUUUAUGUGGUAAGAGCUUUCUCAAAAAAAAAAAAUCACUUUCUCAAAAAACAUGAUUUAUACGGUAUGAAUGAACAAUACAUUACAACCAUGACAUUUCUAAAUUUUAGUCAUUUUUGUCCAACUCAGACAGAUCAACGCAAUAUAAGCUUGGUCAACGGUCAAACGCGUUUAAAAUUCACGUUUUUAUCAAGUUCAGGUCUCUGCUUGAAAC
Molecule: long non-coding RNA, 218 nt
Filed under: Nicotiana benthamiana
Lineage: Eukaryota; Viridiplantae; Streptophyta; Magnoliopsida; Solanales; Solanaceae
Description: long non-coding RNA (NBEN_LNC031556)
Source: RNAcentral